RNAcentral lists this ribosomal RNA (941 nucleotides) under uncultured bacterium ARCTIC96BD-19. RNAcentral's name for it is "bacterial SSU rRNA". It matches the Rfam family "Bacterial small subunit ribosomal RNA", at positions 579 to 1515 of the family's 1533-position model. The record is from RNAcentral.
UUUAUUAAGUCAGAUGUGAAAGCCCCCGGGGCUUAACCUUGGGAACUGCCAUUUGAAACUGGUCAACUAGAGUAGGGUAGAGGAAAGUGGAAUUUCUGGUGUAGCGGUGAAAUGCGUAGAUAUCAGAAGGAACAUCAAUGGGCGAAGGCAGCUUUCUGGACCAAUACUGACGCUGAGGUACGAAAGCGUGGGUAGCAAACAGGAUUAGAUACCCUGGUAGUCCACGCCGUAAACGAUGAUAACUAGCCGUUGGGGGGAUUUACCCUUUAGUGGCGAAGCUAACGCGUUAAGUUAUCCGCCUGGGGAGUACGGCCGCAAGGUUAAAACUCAAAGGAAUUGACGGGGACCCGCACAAGCGGUGGAGCAUGUGGUUUAAUUCGAUGCAACGCGAAGAACCUUACCUGGUCUUGACAUCCUGCGAACUUUCUAGAAAUAGAUUGGUGCCUUCGGGAACGCAGUGACAGGUGCUGCAUGGCUGUCGUCAGCUCGUGUCGUGAGAUGUUGGGUUAAGUCCCGUAACGAGCGCAACCCCUAUCCUUAUUUGCCAGCACAUUAUGGUGGGAACUAUAAGGAGACUGCCGGUGAUAAACCGGAGGAAGGCGGGGACGACGUCAAGUCAUCAUGGCCCUUACGACCAGGGCUACACACGUGCUACAAUGGGAAGGACAAAGAGCCGCGAAGCCGCGAGGUGUAGCUAAUCUCAUAAACCUUUUCGUAGUCCGGAUUGGAGUCUGCAACUCGACUCCAUGAAGUCGGAAUCGCUAGUAAUCGUAGAUCAGAAUGCUACGGUGAAUACGUUCCCGGGUCUUGUACACACCGCCCGUCAUACCAUGGGAGUGGGUUGCACCAGAAGUGGCUAGUCUAACUUAGUGAGGACGGUCACCACGGUGUGAUUCAUGACUGGGGUAAAGUCGUAACAAGGUAGCCCUACCGGAAGGUGG